RNAcentral lists this ribosomal RNA (459 nucleotides) under uncultured bacterium. RNAcentral's name for it is "partial 16S ribosomal RNA". It matches the Rfam family "Bacterial small subunit ribosomal RNA", at positions 338 to 795 of the family's 1533-position model. The record is from RNAcentral.
CCUACGGGUGACAGCAGUGAGGAAUAUUGGUCAAUGGUCGGGAGACUGAACCAGCCAAGCCGCGUGAGGGAGGAAGGUACAGAGUAUCGUAAACCUCUUUUGUCAGGGAACAAAGACUGGGACGCGUCCCCGGAUGAGUGUACCUGAAGAAAAAGCAUCGGCUAACUCCGUGCCAGCAGCCGCGGUAAUACGGAGGAUGCGAGCGUUAUCCGGAUUUAUUGGGUGUAAGGGGUGCGCAGGCGGUCUGUUAAGUCAGGGGUAAAAGCCCGGGGCUCAACCCCGGCCCGCCGUUGAAACUGGCAGUAUCGAGUUGGAGAGAAGUAUGCGGAAUGCGCGGUGUAGCGGGGAAAUGCAUAGAUAUCGCGCAGAACUCCGAUUGCGAAGGCAGCAUGACGGCUCCACACUGACGCGGAGGCACCAAAGCGUGGGUAUCGAACAGGAUUAGAUACCCCUGUAGUC